Molecule: non-coding RNA, 103 nt
Filed under: uncultured Vexilliferidae
Lineage: Eukaryota; Discosea; Flabellinia; Dactylopodida; Vexilliferidae
Source: RNAcentral
GAUGAUGAUUGGUAAAAAAAAAAAUCAAAAAUGUAAUACAAAAGAAUUUAACUUUUUUUUUUUUCAAAAUAUCUUAAUAAAACUAACAAAAAACGAAAAAAAA